GCGGGUGUGAUGUAACGGUAGCAUCUGAGUGCGCCACACUCAGCGCAUGGGUUCAAAUCCCGUCACUCGCU
The sequence is a transfer RNA, 71 nucleotides long. It matches the Rfam family "tRNA". From Rfam's summary of the family: Transfer RNA (tRNA) molecules are approximately 80 nucleotides in length. Their secondary structure includes four short double-helical elements and three loops (D, anti-codon, and T loops). The record is from Rfam.